This 416-nucleotide unclassified non-coding RNA is filed under the name soil metagenome. RNAcentral describes it as "partial contains 5.8S ribosomal RNA, internal transcribed spacer 2, and large subunit ribosomal RNA". The stretch from base 1 to 120 matches the Rfam family "5.8S ribosomal RNA", at positions 35 to 154 of the family's 154-position model. The record is from RNAcentral.
GAUGAAGAACGUAGCGAAAUGCGAUAAGUAAUGUGAAUUGCAGAAUUCAGUGAAUCAUCGAAUCUUUGAACGCACCUUGCACUCCUUGGUAUUCCGAGGAGUACGCCUGUUCGAGUGUUAUGAAGCUCUCAAAACGCAAUUGGCUUAAAACCUGAUUGUUGUUUUGGAUUUGAACUUUGCAGUGUUAUAACGGCUGGUUUUAAAAGUAUUAGCUGGUACUAGAACGAAUUGGUUCUACUCAACGUGAUAAUUAUCUGAUCGUUGAGGACAUUCCUUUCACGAGGAAUGGCCAUAGUAAAUUCAAUGGACUGCUUCUAAUCUGGCUUUAAUUCUUUAUUGGAUUAACCACUUUUCAAAUCUGACCUCGAAUCAGGUGGGACUACCCGCUGAACUUAAGCAUAUCAAUAAGCGGAGGA